This is a long non-coding RNA of Acanthochromis polyacanthus (spiny chromis), 715 nucleotides long. RefSeq lists it as uncharacterized. Lineage: Eukaryota; Metazoa; Chordata; Actinopteri; Pomacentridae. The transcript has 2 exons. The record is from RefSeq and is a predicted model, not a curated record.
GACUUGCGUGUGCCAACCAAGGUCACGGGGAUCAUCACCCAGGGAGCUAAAGACUUUGGUCAUGUCCAGUUUGUUGGCUCAUACAAAUCGCUUACAGUAAUGAUGGAGAGCGGUGGAGUGUAUAUCAAGAUGAGAAGCAAGGGAAGGAUAAGGUAUUCCAGGGGAACUUUGACAACGACACGCACAGAAAGAACGUGAUAGACCCACCAUCUACGCCCGGCUCGUCCGGAUCCUUCCCUGGUCAUGGUAUGGCAGGAUCACUUUGCGUGUAGAAAUACUCGGAUGCACAGAGGAAGAGUGAAGUCCUUUCCUCCGUCUUUCUCGCCAUCAUCCCCUGUCCCUCGGCAUACUGGAGCGUCAGCGCUUCAGAAAUAAACUGUGCAACCUGUAAAAAGAAAUCAAUUUCCAAUGGAUUUUUUCAAGAAUAAGUGUUUGGUUGUGGUGGGUUGCUGUUUGUUCUUUUGUACAAUGAUUUAAAAACCUACCCCCCCCCCCCCGUUCCACUUUUGUCUUUUCGUUUCCUAUUUAAAGCGUGAUCCUUGUCUUUUUAUUCCUUCUCAAGAUUUGCCAUCGCUGUUUGGAAUGAACUUCUAUAAUAUAUAUUGGAGGGGUGGGAUUGGGGAGCGGAGUCACAACGGGGGUCUCACUGUGGUUUUACCUUGUUGCCAUGGAAGCUAUUGUACAGUGUCACUUUUUAACAAAGAUGUGAAAUCUG